Long non-coding RNA from Sinocyclocheilus grahami, 362 nucleotides. RefSeq lists it as uncharacterized. The record is from RefSeq and is a predicted model, not a curated record. NCBI's taxonomy places the organism in Eukaryota, Metazoa, Chordata, Actinopteri, Cypriniformes, Cyprinidae. The transcript is spliced from 3 exons.
GUUACUUCUGCAGCUUUGUCUUCUACCACAGAACCUACUUCUUUACAGAGCCCUUCUGUCACGGAAGGACUUGUUGUGAAUGCUUCUCUUAACCCAUGUGAACCAAACCCUUGUGGAGCUGGGGUGUGUUCAGUGAAGGAUGGGGUGGGCGUUUGUCACUGCCUACCUGGACUGCAUGGAGAAGAGUGCCAAUUUGAGGUUGAUGUUUGCCAUUCAAAUCCUUGUACCAAUGGAGCCACCUGUGUGGAGGUGGAGGACACUUUCAAAUGCUUAUGUCUGCCCAGCUACGAAGGAGACCGCUGUGAGAUUGGUAUGAGGUUGCUUCAGCUAGUUCUACUAACAGUCUUUCAAAAACAACCUUA